This is a small nuclear RNA of Suncus etruscus (white-toothed pygmy shrew), 107 nucleotides long. The record is from RefSeq and is a predicted model, not a curated record. NCBI's taxonomy places the organism in Eukaryota, Metazoa, Chordata, Mammalia, Eulipotyphla, Soricidae.
GUACUUGCUUCUGCAGUACAUAUACUAAAGUUGGAACAAUACAGAGAAGAUUAGCAUGGACCCUGUGCAAGGAUGACAUGCAGAUUCGUGAAGCAUUCCAUAAAAAA